This 400-nucleotide ribosomal RNA is filed under the name uncultured bacterium. RNAcentral's name for it is "bacterial SSU rRNA". It matches the Rfam family "Bacterial small subunit ribosomal RNA", at positions 355 to 747 of the family's 1533-position model. The record is from RNAcentral.
UGGGGAAUUUCGGACAAUGGGCGCAAGCCUGAUCCAGCCAUGUCGCGUGAGUGAAGAAGGCCUUCGGGUUGUAAAGCUCUUUCGGCCGGGAAGAAAUCGCAUGGGCUAAUACCCUGUGUGGAUGACGGUACCGGAAUAAGAAGCACCGGCUAACUACGUGCCAGCAGCCGCGGUAAUACGUAGGGUGCGAGCGUUAAUCGGAAUUACUGGGCGUAAAGCGUGCGCAGGCGGUUUGAUAAGCCAGAUGUGAAAUCCCCGAGCUCAACUUGGGAACUGCGUUUGGAACUGUCAGACUAGAGUGCGUCAGAGGGGGGUGGAAUUCCGCGUGUAGCAGUGAAAUGCGUAGAGAUGCGGAGGAACACCGAUGGCGAAGGCAGCCUCCUGGGAUGACACUGACGCU